This is a long non-coding RNA of Dermacentor andersoni, 745 nucleotides long. RefSeq lists it as uncharacterized. Lineage: Eukaryota; Metazoa; Arthropoda; Arachnida; Ixodida; Ixodidae. The record is from RefSeq and is a predicted model, not a curated record.
GGCCUGAGUUGCUUUGGGACGUUAAACCCCAUAAACCAAAACAUAAACCAAUCAGAAUUUACUUGCAUUGAGCCUUAAAACAGUUAACCAUGCACAUUUAUUCUUGCCAUAAUUUGCUUACAGCCAUUAAAUGUAUUUUCUCACAUUGUUGCUACAUGAUCUCUGACAUACCAGAUCGUGUUUGUUGUGUCUAUAUUACUGUGUUAUAUUCACUGUAAUGCAUCCUCUGAUACAACUAUUCAUUCCGCCUUCUUUUUUUCGACUGCUGCAAUGAGCCAAGCUAGGUGCUUGAUUUUGCACAAAUAAAAACUGCAGCCUAGUCUUACUUUCGUUAAUUAUACCAAGUUGACCAACAUAGGGCAAAUGAUCUGACAGCCGUCUGUUUGCAGGUAAAACAGCCAAAGAAGCAACCUUUAGCGAAAAGAAGAAAGGGCCCACUCACCCAGAUUUCAGCAGCUACCGGCAGCAAGGCCUCUCCUCGUCACUGCACUACUCCUGCUGGAACAUCGCGCCACAGCAGCCAGAGUAACGAGGUUGCUAAAGAAUCUACGCGAAGGAAGGACAUGCCACCAGCACCAAAAUGUGACCAAAGUGCACUACAGCCAGAGCUUCAAAGACUGCUUCAUGGCAUCCGGUGCCGGUAGCUUGAACAUUCGUCACAAUUGAACUUCCUGACAUCCUGAGUGAGAUCACGGAUGAAUAAUCUGGACGAUGAUGUGGAUGACAUCGAAGUGCCACAAAGAAA